This 73-nucleotide ribosomal RNA is filed under the name Mesorhizobium sp. The record is from RNAcentral. Lineage: Bacteria; Pseudomonadati; Pseudomonadota; Alphaproteobacteria; Hyphomicrobiales; Phyllobacteriaceae.
CUUGACGACCAUAGAGUAUUGGAACCACCUGAUCCCAUCCCGAACUCAGAAGUGAAACGAUGCAUCGCCGAUG